Molecule: ribosomal RNA, 494 nt
Filed under: uncultured bacterium
Lineage: Bacteria
Description: partial 16S ribosomal RNA
Rfam family: Bacterial small subunit ribosomal RNA
Source: RNAcentral
GACGGACGCUGGCGGCGUGCUUAACACAUGCAAGUCGAACGGAAAGGCCUGCUUUCCCUUGUGGAUUGCGGGUACUCGAGUGGCGAACGGGUGAGUAACACGUGAGUGAUCUGCCCCCAACUUGGGUAUAAGCCUGGGAAACUGGGUCUAAUUCCCGAUAGGACUGCAGGGUGGUGCCUGUGGUGGAAAACGAUUUUCUAGUGGUUGGGGAUGAGCUCGCGGCCUAUCAGCUUGUUGGUGGGGUAAUGGCCUACCAAGGCGGCGACGGGUAGCCGGCCUGGGAGGGUGGACGGCCACAUUGGGACUGAGAUACGGCCCAGACUCCUACGGGAGGCAGCAGUGGGGAAUAUUGCACAAUGGGCGGAAGCCUGAUGCAGCGACGCCGCGUGGGGGAUGACGGCCUUCGGGUUGUAAACUCCUUUCGACCGCGAGGAAGCCACCUGGUUGGAAGGGUGGUGACGGUAGUGGUAGAAGAAGCACCGGCUAACUACGUG